This 376-nucleotide ribosomal RNA is filed under the name uncultured bacterium. RNAcentral's name for it is "bacterial SSU rRNA". It matches the Rfam family "Bacterial small subunit ribosomal RNA", at positions 523 to 898 of the family's 1533-position model. The record is from RNAcentral.
AUACGUAGAGGGCGAGCGUUGUCCGGAAUCACUGGGCGUAAAGGGUACGCAGGCGGAAAUACAAGUCAAAUGUGAAAGGUACCGGCUCAACCGGUGAAAUGCAUUUGAAACUGUAUAUCUUGAGUAUAGGAGAGGAGAGCGGAAUUCCUGGUGUAGCGGUGGAAUGCGUAGAUAUCAGGAAGAACACCAGUGGCGAAGGCGGCUCUCUGGCCUACAACUGACGCUCAUGUACGAAAGCUGGGGGAGCGAACGGGAUUAGAUACCCCGGUAGUCCCAGCCGUAAACGAUGGACACUAGGUGUUGGGGGUUCGAAUCCUUCAGUGCCGCAGUUAACGCAAUAAGUAUCCCGCCUGGGGAGUACGGCCGCAAGGUUGAA